This 127-nucleotide small RNA is filed under the name Marmota monax (woodchuck). Lineage: Eukaryota; Metazoa; Chordata; Mammalia; Rodentia; Sciuridae. The record is from RNAcentral.
GCUGGGUGCAGUGGCACACACCUGUAAUCCCAGAUGCUCGGGAGGCUGAGGCAGGAGGAUUGCUAGUUCAAAGCCAGCCUCAGCAACUUAGUGUGGACCUAAGCAACUCAGUGAGACCCUGUUUCUA